Non-coding RNA from Callorhinus ursinus (northern fur seal), 1472 nucleotides. The record is from RefSeq and is a predicted model, not a curated record. NCBI's taxonomy places the organism in Eukaryota, Metazoa, Chordata, Mammalia, Carnivora, Otariidae.
GGUUUGGCGCGUCGACGGCCCAGAGUCCGCGGCCGGGGCGCCCCGAGCACAGGAAUUGAGCGGCCAUGGCCUACCACAGCUUCCUGGUGGAACCCAUCAGCUGCCAUGCCUGGAACAAGGACCGCACCCAGAUUGCCAUCUGCCCCAACAACCACGAGGUGCACAUCUAUGAGAAGAGCGGGGCCAAGUGGGUCAAGGUGCAUGAGCUCAAGGAGCACAAUGGGCAGGUGACAGGCAUCAAUUGGGCCCCCGAGAGUAACCGAAUCGUGACCUGUGGCACAGACCGCAAUGCCUACGUGUGGACGCUCAAGGGCCGCACGUGGAAACCCACCCUCGUCAUCCUGAGGAUCAACCGGGCUGCUCGCUGUGUGCGCUGGGCCCCCCAGGAGAACAAGUUCGCUGUGGGUAGUGGCUCCCGUGUCAUCUCCAUCUGCUAUUUUGAGCAGGAAAAUGACUGGUGGGUGUGCAAGCACAUCAAGAAGCCCAUUCGUUCCACUGUCCUCAGCCUGGACUGGCACCCCAACAACGUGCUCCUGGCCGCAGGCUCCUGUGACUUCAAGCGCAGGAUCUUCUCGGCCUACAUCAAGGAGGUGGAGGAGCGGCCAGCACCCACCCCAUGGGGCUCCAAGAUGCCCUUCGGGGAGCUGAUGUUUGAGUCUAGCAGUAGCUGUGGCUGGGUGCAUGGCGUCUGCUUUUCGGCCAGUGGCAGCCGCAUGGCCUGGGUCAGCCAUGACAGCACCUUGUGCCUGGCUGAUGCCGACAAGAAAAUGGCUGUCGCGACUCUGGCCUCUGAAACGCUGCCGCUGCUGGCCCUGACCUUCAUCACCGACAACAGUCUGGUGGCAGCGGGCUACGACUGUUUCCCGGUGCUGUUUACCUAUGAUGGCACCACAGGGACGCUGAGCUUCGGCGGGCGGCUGGAUGUGCCCAAGCAGAGCUCGCAGCGCGGCCUGACGGUCCGAGAGCGCUUCCAGAACCUGGACAAGAAGGCGAGCUCGGAGGGCAGUGUGGCCUCGGGCGUUGGCCUGGACUCGCUGCAUAAGAACAGUGUGAGCCAGAUCUCGGUGCUCAGUGGGGGAAGGCCAAGUGCUCCCAGUUCUGCACCACAGGAAUGGAUGGUGGCAUGAGCAUCUGGGACGUGAAGAGCUUGGAAUCAGCCUUGAAGGACCUCAAGAUCAAAUGACCCAUGAGGCAUAGGUGUCCCUCAUCCCAGCUGCUGGGGGAGGGGGUCAGGGAGGCUAAGGAUUGCUUUGCUGAAUGUCUGUAGGGUAGCAGUCUGGGUCCCCCGGGACUGCUCCAGCCGGGGGGUGGGGGGGAGGGGAAGCUUUUCUGACCUAUUGAAGGAACAGGUGCCUUUUUCUUACAAAGAGCUGCUUUCAUUUGUUAAAAACAAAAAUGUUCUCAAAGCACUGUGCUGGUCAUGAGCUGCAACAACGUGGGUGUAAUAAAAAAGCAAUCUUAAAAAAAAAAAA